Molecule: long non-coding RNA, 4851 nt
Filed under: Olea europaea subsp. europaea
Lineage: Eukaryota; Viridiplantae; Streptophyta; Magnoliopsida; Lamiales; Oleaceae
Source: RNAcentral
GCUUACGUAAGCCCUAGCCCACUGCCCCUGAUCCUGUUCAAGCCCCGUCAAGUGAGCAACAGCAGAGAAACUCAGCAAUGGCGAAGAAGCAAUCUGAAAACUCGGUCCAAUUAAAGCCUAACCACAAAUCUCUAUUGGCCUAUCCAUCGCUUUCUGGAUCGAAAAUAGUGGCUUUUCUAUAGCUCUCGAACACUUUAUCUCCGAAGCUCAAAUUCAGGUGUAUGCAAUUUAUCUAUUUAUUAUUUAUUUUUCACGGGUGAAUAUAAAUGCUAAUGAAUAAGAAAACGAAAAAGUUUAAGUUGGAUACACUGUUAAAGAUAUGUUAUACUGAAUUGGUGGUUGUACUCUGUUCACGUGUAUUCAUGAACUUUUUCCCUGGAGUGCUGGUAAAAUAUUAUAUAUCUUUCUGAGUUCGUAACUGUAACAAGAGAAGAAAUGGAAUGGAAAAAUUGAAAAUUUUCUGGGGACUGCCAAUGGACUUUCGGGAGUAAACUUCUAGAUAUCCAUAAAAUUUCCUGCUUGUUCCCGAAAACAUUGACAAAGAUGAAGUAACUUUGAUUUUGCUAUAUGUUUGCCUAAUUAUACAUGCAUAUCAGUAGCAAUUUAGGCUAUUGGCGUUGAAUAGUUUUAAACAUGAAGGCUGGUGAAAAGUGUGGAGAAAUAAGAGCAAGAGAGAAAAUGCAGUUUUGAUCGUCAUCCAUAUUAUUCAGUGUUACACUCUUGCAGUUUUUUCAUCGGGACAUAGCGCUGUAAAUUCUAGGUCAGGAUGACGAUUGGAAGGCUAGGACGCUUAAUUUAGAGGAUGUAUUCUCCAAGUAUUUGGAAAUCUGGUAAGCUACUUAACAAGGUCAUUUAGUCAGAAUAUAACCAUUUAUGUUCAACGACAAACGGUUUAUUCAUCCCAAGAAUUUACCUGUAGAUUUCAAAUUCAGUUGCCUAUAUUGAUCUUCCUCUUAAGGUCAAUUUUAUUUAAAAGAGUUUAUUAAUAUUUGUUUAGAAAAUCGAGAAAUUGAUAAAUUAGUUAUUAUAGAAAGCCAAGUAUUAUCCUCACUAGAUAGAAUUAGAGGUGACUCAUCUUUAAAGAUCAAAAAGCAAAUCAUUGAGCUUUCCAUCUCUCAUUGUCAGAGUUUCUUGAUAGUUGGUAUUAAAGCCAUUUCUUAGUCUAAAAUAAUUAAUUUAUGAAAAGAAUAGACUAUUUAAAUCUAGAAAUUCUAGGAAAUUUUAGGAGAAAAGAUAGUUUAGAUACAGUCUCUUUAGUUUGUAACUUUGAUAAAAAUUUUAAACACCUUUUAAAUUCUGAAGAUAAGCAGUUAAAUAGUGCUAUAGAUUUACUUGUAAAUUUAGGAGAAAAUUUAGAAAUGAACAAUUUAAACAGAAAGGUAGUAACUUUAUUAGAAAAUAUCAAUAAAAAUAUAAAGACUUUAGAAAGUUAUUUAAAAUAUAUUAAAAACCAAAAUACCGAAAUAUUAAAAAGAAAAUUUAAUAAUAUAAGAGAAAUAGAUACUAGUCCUAACUUAGAAAAAUUGGAAAGUAGAGUUAAAGUAUUAGAAAAAGAAAAGUUAAGAGAUAAUAAACAUUUAAAUAAUAUAAUAAAUAAACUAGAAAAAUUAGAUUUAGGUAAAGCUAAAGAAUCUAGUAAAUUUAAGAAGACUAAGUGGAUUAAUACGUAAUGGAUAAAGGAAAGCAAAUUAUAGCAAGUAGCAGUAAAUUAAUAGGUAAUCCUUUAUUAAGGACAUUAAGUUGAAAAACGGAAUCCGAAACAAGAUUAAAAUCCCUAAUAGAGAUGGACGAAUAGAUAGAAACGUUUAGAUAAAAUAAACUAAAAUUAGCAAAAGAUUUAGAUGUAUAUAAAAAAGAAAAUAUGUUUAGCAUUUAAUAUAUCAACAUUAUGGUGAAAGAUAUGUUUCUUGUACAUAUGAAGAUCAAUUUAUAUCCCUCGAUUUAAUAGAAAAAGAAUCUUAUAAAAAAUUUGUUAAUAAAAAUCUUCAACAAAUUCAUUUAGGAUUAAUAAUAAUAGGAGUAAAAGGAUAUCAUAGAGAAAAUUUAGGAGCUAAAAUAUUAGUAUGUUUAUAUUAUAGCAGAUUCACAGAUAUGAAACAAGAAUUAUUAGGAAGUAUAAAAUUAGGUAUUAAUAAUAAAGGAGAAAUAGUAUAUUAUAUGCCAGAUUAUUUAGUAAUAACAAAAAAAAUGUUAUAAAGAGAUUAAAAUAGGAAUAAAAAGUAAAGGAUAUCAAAUGAAAAGAGAUGAAGAUAAUUUAUUAAUUUUUACAGGAUUCAUAGGAAGACUUAGUUUAAAUAAUACUACUAAUUAUAAAUUAGAAAAUAAUCAAAUAAUUACAUUAUUAAAACAAAAAUGUAUAAAAACUAUCUCAGUGCAGAAAUUCUCUUCAGAGAGAAAUGCAAGAUUAGAUUGAAAUUUAGGAAAUUUCUUAGAAAGACCAAUAUUAGUACCAGAAGAUAACAUCAUGUAUGAAAGUAGUAAUGGAACUUUUAAUAUUAGAUUUGAAAAUUAUAAUUAUGAAGCAGAACAAAAAAAGCACAAUGAAGGAAUGUGGAUGCUUUGAGAUAGAAAAUUAAGAAAAUGAAGAUAAAGUUAAUGUGUUAGAUGAAGACAGUGAAAAAGAUGAAAUUGAGGACGAUGAAAAAGAAUUCUAAUAUAUAGAUAUGAAGUACUAUAGAAAUCUUAGAAAGACUAGAGAAAUAGAAAUUAGAAUGUUAAUAGAAAAGACCAAGCAAACAUAGAAACCAAGAUAGAAGAAGUUAGCAAAAGAACUAAAUUUGAAACAGACCAAAAAUUCGGAAAAAGAAAAGAUCCCAUGAAUGCAAAAUAUGAUAUAAGAGGUAAAUACCCUUUUCCCCUACAAGAGAUUUUGGAUGGAAAGAUAAAAAUUAUAAAAGUUUAGAGCAUAUAACUAAAUGAGAAAAUUUUGUAAUUAUAGCAUAUAAUAGUGCACCUAUACAAAUGAUUGUAAAAGAAAUGUGGGCUUACUUAGAACUUAUAUAGGAAAGACGGCAUUAGACAUGUACGUUAUAGCAAAAAGACAAAAACAAGAAGAAAUUAGAUUAAGAAUGGCCAUAGGAGAUAAUCAUCAAUUCCAAAAUGAUGAAUAUAUGAAAAUUGUGGUUUUGAUUCUCAUGUUAUUGAGCUUUUGCGGUGGUGCAGUAAUGAUCACAACAAAAAUUUAAUUCUCCAGAUGGGGCAAAGUAAGCUUUUGUGAUGUAAUCGCCUGUCAUUUUGUUUAUUUUUUCUUCAUGCUUUUAGUACAAUAUAAUGAUCAGGAAAAUGUUACGAGUCGCUCUUAUCUAUGAUGUGUUUUCUUACAGAAAAACUUGCAGGUGAAGCAGCAGAUAAACACCAAAGGAUUCUGCUGAUGGAAAAGUUUGCGAAUUACCAAUUGAUGAAUCUACUAGAAGCCAGAAAGACAAGAAGAAGAAAGGCAAGUUAACGUGUGAAUUACUAGACAGUGAUGAAAAGCAAAUAGAUGCGAGGAUAAUAGCAACAGGACAACAUGGUAGCGACAUUUCAUCAUAUGGGAAUAAAUUCCAGGCUAAAUAAAAGAAGAGAAAGAAAGAGGCUACAGCUUCUACAGAAUCAUCUGGUUCUGGUACAGAGAUAUGUGAUAGUGAAAACUCAAUAUUUGGAAAACCUAAACAAAAUUGAUUGAGUGUAGAAGAUUGUGUUGACGAAUAUAAGAUGGCUUCCUAGAAAUGAAAAAGAUUUACUCUUGAUGAAAAUGAGAACCACCCUGUAGAAGAAGUAGCAGUUGAAGAAUUAAAGCGCAGAAAGCCUGGAGGCUUAGAAGAAUUGAAGGUUGUUGAGCAGCAAAUCACUAUCUCUAGAGCUAAUGGACUUUGCUGAGUCUCCGAAUUUUCUGUUAAGAAAGUUGAUGAAAGCACUAACGGUAAUAUCAACAGGAAUGAACUGAAAAAUUCCAGUCAACCAAAAUCUGGGAGGAGACAGCGCAACAGUUCUGCUGAGGUAUACGUUUCUGUAUAUAUUUAUCCCUUUCCAUUUCUAUUUUGUGUUUUUUCUUGUUUACCUUUUUUUAAAAGAAAAAAUAAAAACAAAUAUAAAUCAAGCAGAGCUGCUCAGCAGAAGUCAUUCUGUUAGAGGAUCUUGUUGUAAACUAAUUAAAAAGUUGAAGUGAAAAUAAAAACAGAGUCGAGGAAAAUCUGGCUGAGGCUUGAAGCUAACAUGGUGAUUAAUCAGGAGAAGGAAUUAUAAAAGAAGGGGCGAGGAAAAUCCGUGGGUACUUGAAACUGCAGGAAGAAGAAAAGUAAAAUCUUAUGAAAUAAAUGAAUCAAGUUUUCUUUUGGCCGCCCCAGUUUAUAAAUGAUUUAUAUAUUUAAUCAAAGUCAAAUAUUAAUUUCAACCACACAUACAUAACUAUUACUCAUUUAUUAUCCACACAUUUCGAGGAACACACUACUAUUCCUCUUUAUAAUGGUUCAUAAAUUUGCCAAAAGGAGGCUAAGUGAUCAAAUAGGCCUGGAUCAUUUUCCCAUAAAGACGAUAAAAAUGACUUUAAACCCAAAGCAAUGCUGAUCACCACAAUGAUUUUUGAAAGAUUUUAGCAUUCUUAGCGAUCCAUGUGCACCAUCAUAGCACAGCUCCACAUUAUUUUUGCUUCUUUACUAGUGCUACUAUCUGAAAUCUUACAAUUAAAUAAAUCAACCAAAGCUGUUUCUGGACAAUGGACUCUUUGAAGUCUAGAAUCAAUCUCAAACAUGAUUUUUCUAGUGAAAUCAUAAUGUAAGAAAAGAUGAGGUCCUGUUACGUCACCUACAUAUGAAUUAAAUGACAAAGCUCAUGGGAGCUAUGCUUUUAUGACCGAUCACUACUUGAUUUUCA